GAUGAACGCUAGCUACAGGCUUAACACAUGCAAGUCGAGGGGCAGCAUGGUCUUAGCUUGCUAAGACUGAUGGCGACCGGCGCACGGGUGAGUAACACGUAUCCAACCUGCCGUCUACUCUUGGACAGCCUUCUGAAAGGAAGAUUAAUACAAGAUGGCAUCAUGAGUCCGCAUGUUCACAUGAUUAAAGGUAUUCCGGUAGACGAUGGGGAUGCGUUCCAUUAGAUAGUAGGCGGGGUAACGGCCCACCUAGUCUUCGAUGGAUAGGGGUUCUGAGAGGAAGGUCCCCCACAUUGGAACUGAGACACGGUCCAAACUCCUACGGGAGGCAGCAGUGAGGAAUAUUGGUCAAUGGGCGAGAGCCUGAACCAGCCAAGUAGCGUGAAGGAUGACUGCCCUAUGGGUUGUAAACUUCUUUUAUAAAGGAAUAAAGUCGGGUAUGCAUACCCGUUUGCAUGUACUUUAUGAAUAAGGAUCGGCUAACUCCGUGCCAGCAGCCGCGGUAAUACGGAGGAUCCGAGCGUUAUCCGGAUUUAUUGGGUUUAAAGGGAGCGUAGAUGGAUGUUUAAGUCAGUUGUGAAAGUUUGCGGCUCAACCGUAAAAUUGCAGUUGAUACUGGAUAUCUUGAGUGCAGUUGAGGCAGGCGGAAUUCGUGGUGUAGCGGUGAAAUGCUUAGAUAUCACGAAGAACUCCGAUUGCGAAGGCAGCCUGCUAAGCUGCAACUGACAUUGAGGCUCGAAAGUGUGGGUAUCAAACAGG
RNAcentral lists this ribosomal RNA (759 nucleotides) under uncultured bacterium. RNAcentral's name for it is "bacterial SSU rRNA". It matches the Rfam family "Bacterial small subunit ribosomal RNA", at positions 28 to 776 of the family's 1533-position model. The record is from RNAcentral.